Molecule: ribosomal RNA, 256 nt
Filed under: uncultured bacterium
Lineage: Bacteria
Description: partial 16S ribosomal RNA
Rfam family: Bacterial small subunit ribosomal RNA
Source: RNAcentral
GAUCCUGGCUCAGGACGAACGCUGGCGGCGUGCCUAACACAUGCAAGUCGAGCGGAGACAGUGAGUAGCUUGCUAUGAGCUGUUUUAGCGGCGGACGGGUGAGUAACGCGUGAGCAACCUUUCCCAGACAGGGGAAUAACACACCGAAAGGUGUACUAAUACCGCAUAAGACCACGGAAUCACAUGGUUCUGGGGUAAAAGAAUUAUCGGUUUGGGGUGGGCUCGCUUCCGAUUAUGUAGUUGGUGAGGUAACCGG